This 253-nucleotide ribosomal RNA is filed under the name uncultured bacterium. Its description in RNAcentral is "partial 16S ribosomal RNA". It matches the Rfam family "Bacterial small subunit ribosomal RNA", at positions 524 to 777 of the family's 1533-position model. The record is from RNAcentral.
UACGAAGGGGGCUAGCGUUGCUCGGAAUUACUGGGCGUAAAGCGCACGUAGGCGGUCUUUUAAGUCGGGGGUGAAAUCCUGGAGCUCAACUCCAGAACUGCCUUCGAUACUGGAAGACUUGAGUCCGGGAGAGGUGAGUGGAACUGCGAGUGUAGAGGUGAAAUUCGUAGAUAUUCGCAAGAACACCAGUGGCGAAGGCGGCUCACUGGCCCGGUACUGACGCUGAGGUGCGAAAGCGUGGGAGCAAACAGGG